GAUGAACGCUGGCGGCGUGCUUAACACAUGCAAGUCGAACGAAGAUGCCGGAGUGCUUGCACUUUGGCAGACUGAGUGGCGGACGGGUGGGUAACGCGUGGGUAACCUGCCUUAUACAGGGGGAUAACAGUUGGAAACGACUGCUAAUACCGCAUAAGCGCACGGUAUCGCAUGAUACAGUGUGAAAAACUCCGGUGGUAUAAGAUGGACCCGCGUCUGAUUAGCUGGUUGGUGAGGUAACGGCCCACCAAGGCGACGAUCAGUAGCCGACCUGAGAGGGUGACCGGCCACAUUGGGACUGAGACACGGCCCAAACUCCUACGGGAGGCAGCAGUGGGGAAUAUUGCACAAUGGGGGAAACCCUGAUGCAGCGACGCCGCGUGAGCGAAGAAGUAUUUCGGUAUGUAAAGCUCUAUCAGCAGGGAAGAAAAAAAUAGACGGUACCUGACUAAGAAGCACCGGCUAAACACGUG
RNAcentral lists this ribosomal RNA (473 nucleotides) under uncultured bacterium. RNAcentral describes it as "bacterial SSU rRNA". It matches the Rfam family "Bacterial small subunit ribosomal RNA", at positions 28 to 507 of the family's 1533-position model. The record is from RNAcentral.